GAAGAACGCAGUGAAAUGCGAUAACUAAUGUGAAUUGCAGAAUUCCGUGAAUCAUCGAGUCUUUGAACGCACAUUGCGCCCCCUGGUAUUCCGGGGGGCAUGCCUGUCCGAGCGUCAUUGCUGCCCAUCAAGCACGGCUUGUGUGUUGGGUCCUCGUCCCCCCCGGGGGACGUGCCCGAAAGGCAGCGGCGGCACCGCGUCCGGUCCUCGAGCGUAUGGGGCUUUGUCACCCGCUCUGCAGGCCCGGCCGGCGCUGGCCGACGCGAAAGCAACCAUUUUUUCUCCAGGUUGACCUCGGAUCAGGUAGGGAUACCCGCUGAACUUAAGCAUAUCAAUAAGCGGAGGA
Molecule: unclassified non-coding RNA, 346 nt
Filed under: soil metagenome
Description: partial contains 5.8S ribosomal RNA, internal transcribed spacer 2, and large subunit ribosomal RNA
Rfam family: 5.8S ribosomal RNA (bases 1-117)
Source: RNAcentral